RNAcentral lists this ribosomal RNA (698 nucleotides) under uncultured beta proteobacterium. RNAcentral describes it as "bacterial SSU rRNA". It matches the Rfam family "Bacterial small subunit ribosomal RNA", at positions 67 to 756 of the family's 1533-position model. The record is from RNAcentral. Lineage: Bacteria; Pseudomonadati; Pseudomonadota; Betaproteobacteria.
CGGCAGCACGGGAGCUUGCUCCUGGUGGCGAGUGGCGAACGGGUGAGUAAUACCUAGGAACAUGUCCAGUAAUGGGGGAUAACGCAGCGAAAGCUGUGCUAAUACCGCAUACGCCCUACGGGGGAAAGCGGGGGAUUCGCAAGGACCUCGCGUUAUUGGAGUGGCCUAGGCCUGAUUAGCUAGUUGGUGAGGUAAAGGCUCACCAAGGCGACGAUCAGUAGCUGGUCUGAGAGGAUGAUCAGCCACACUGGAACUGAGACACGGUCCAGACUCCUACGGGAGGCAGCAGUGGGGAAUUUUGGACAAUGGGGGCAACCCUGAUCCAGCCAUUCCGCGUGAGUGAAGAAGGCCUUCGGGUUGUAAAGCUCUUUCAGGAGGGAAGAAACGGUUGCGGAUAAUACCUGCGACUAAUGACGGUACCUCAAGAAGAAGCACCGGCUAACUACGUGCCAGCAGCCGCGGUAAUACGUAGGGUGCGAGCGUUAAUCGGAAUUACUGGGCGUAAAGCGUGCGCAGGCGGUUUUGUAAGUCAGAUGUGAAAGCCCCGGGCUCAACCUGGGAACUGCGUUUGAAACUACAAGGCUAGAGUGUAGCAGAGGGGGGUAGAAUUCCACGUGUAGCAGUGAAAUGCGUAGAGAUGUGGAGGAAUACCGAUGGCGAAGGCAGCCCCCUGGGUUAACACUGACGCUCAUGUACGA